This 987-nucleotide small RNA is filed under the name Arabidopsis thaliana (thale cress). RNAcentral describes it as "ATSL087290". Lineage: Eukaryota; Viridiplantae; Streptophyta; Magnoliopsida; Brassicales; Brassicaceae. The record is from RNAcentral.
AAAAUUGUUAAAUUUCAAUCCUAAUUGGAGUUUAUAUCAAAAAUGAGUUUAAAAGUAUAAGGAAUAUGUAGGAUAGAGUCUAUUAACAUUUAUUUUUACCAAAUAUUUUUUUUCCCUAAUUUAAUUUGUUUUAAAUCAUUUGUAAGAGUUCAUUAUCUCUUGAUAGUCUAUGUAAUAUAUGGUGUUGGAAAAAAACAUAAAUUCGAAUUUCAAUAUCAUCAAUAGUUAUACUUGUUGUACCAGUAUUGCAUUAUUUCUUCAAUUGUUAUACUAGUAUUACCAUUAUUGCAUAAUUUCUUAAUUAGUUAUACUAGUAUGACCCUUAUGCCAAUGAAUCAAAUACUACGAGUGCCAAAUAACAACCAUUGCAGCGACUGCCUCGGCCUCCUUUUGUUCUGAGUCUUUUGAAGUUUUGGACGUCUUUUUCUAGUGGAUGAAAACCUAAGAACCUUUGUUCUACCCUUCUUCUUUUUCCGAGGUAGAGGUAAUACUUUCAACGCUUUGAUGUCUUCCGGGAUAUCCUACUGUGAUCUAUCCGGGACUAAAUAAAUAGUCUUAUAAUACGCCAAUGACUACCACUCCGCCCAAUAAUACUUUAAAACCAAUUAAUGUAAUUCAAUACUUCGAGUUCUUGUUGUAUAUCUCUCGAAGGCAAUGAAAGCGGCUAAUGCUUGAACACAAGGAUACUUUUGGAUAUCGAACACCUUGCAACUGCAAGUUGAUCAAAUAUUUGUUUUCUUCAUCUCUUCGGACAUUGUAUUCCAGCGGAAUGUGUUUAGCUCUAUGACUUUUAGUUUCUCAGCAUCAACCCAGAAAUCAACUACUUGAUUGAUGUUCAGAUGAUGAUGUUAUUGUAGGUGAAGGAGAAUUCUGCUCUGCUGAACAAAUGUAAUCCCUUUAUUCCAGCAAAUUUAAUGUUUUAGUUAUUUUCUUUGUUCCAAAAAGUUUGAUUUUCUACUGUUUAUUUAGUAUAUCUGUUUAAUUAAU